UGCAUAUCAAAAAGCGGAGGAAAAGAAACCAACAGGGAUUGCCCUAGUAACGGCGAGUGAAGCGGCAACAGCUCAAAUUUGAAAUCUGGCUCUUUUAGAGUCCGAGUUGUAAUUUGCAGAGGGCGCUUUGGCUUUGGCAGCGGUCCAAGUUCCUUGGAACAGGACGUCACAGAGGGUGAGAAUCCCGUACGUGGUCGCUGGCUAUUGCCGUGUAAAGCCCCUUCGACGAGUCGAGUUGUUUGGGAAUAGCAAGCUUCUAAAUUGGGAGGUACAUUUCUUCUAAAGCUAAAUAUUGGCCAGAGACCGAUAGCGCACAAGUAGAGUGAUCGAAAGAUGAAAAGCACUUUGGAAAGAGAGUCAAACAGCACGUGAAAUUGUUGAAAGGGAAGCGCUUGCAGCCAGACUUGCUUACAGUUGCUCAUCCGGGUUUCUACCCGGUGCACUCUUCUGUAGGCAGGCCAGCAUCAGUUUGGGCGGUAGGAUAAAGGUCUCUGUCACGUACCUCCUUUCGGGGAGGCCUUAUAGGGGAGACGACAUACUACCAGCCUGGACUGAGGUCCGCGCAUCUGCUAGGAUGCUGGCGUAAUGGCUGUAAGCGGCCCGUCUUGAAACACGGACCAAUAU
Molecule: ribosomal RNA, 624 nt
Filed under: Alternaria tenuissima
Lineage: Eukaryota; Fungi; Ascomycota; Dothideomycetes; Pleosporales; Pleosporaceae
Description: eukaryotic LSU rRNA
Rfam family: Eukaryotic large subunit ribosomal RNA
Source: RNAcentral